RNAcentral lists this ribosomal RNA (492 nucleotides) under uncultured bacterium. RNAcentral describes it as "partial 16S ribosomal RNA". It matches the Rfam family "Bacterial small subunit ribosomal RNA", at positions 29 to 507 of the family's 1533-position model. The record is from RNAcentral.
AGUGAGCGCUGGCGGUAGGCCUAACACAUGCAAGUCGAACGGCAGCACAGUAAGAGCUUGCUCUUACGGGUGGCGAGUGGCGGACGGGUGAGGAAUACAUCGGAAUCUACUUUUUCGUGGGGGAUAACGUAGGGAAACUUACGCUAAUACCGCAUACGACCUACGGGUGAAAGCAGGGGAUCUUCGGACCUUGCGCGAUUGAAUGAGCCGAUGUCGGAUUAGCUAGUUGGCGGGGUAAAGGCCCACCAAGGCGACGAUCCGUAGCUGGUCUGAGGGGAUGAUCAGCCACACUGGAACUGAGACACGGUCCAGACUCCUACGGGAGGCAGCAGUGGGGAAUAUUGGACAAUGGGCGCAAGCCUGAUCCAGCCAUACCGCGUGGGUGAAGAAGGCCUUCGGGUUGUAAAGCCCUUUUGUUGGGAAAGAAAAGCAGCAGGUUAAUACCCCGCUGUUCUGACGGUACCCAAAGAAUAAGCACCGGCUAACUUCGUG